This 209-nucleotide unclassified non-coding RNA is filed under the name Hevea brasiliensis (rubber tree). Lineage: Eukaryota; Viridiplantae; Streptophyta; Magnoliopsida; Malpighiales; Euphorbiaceae. The record is from RNAcentral.
AUUUUCGACUGCAUGAAAACCAAGGGACAAAUGGUUAUGCCUGUUUUCUACCAUGUGAAUCCAACUGAAGUGAGAAAACAAACAGGAGAAUAUGGAAAAUCAUUUGCUCACCAUGAACAACGUUUCAACAACUUGCACAAUGUUCAACAAUGGAGAACUGCAAUGACUGCAUUGGCCAAUCUCUCUGGUUGGGAUUUACAGGACAGGUA